This 547-nucleotide ribosomal RNA is filed under the name uncultured Aquificales bacterium. RNAcentral's name for it is "bacterial SSU rRNA". It matches the Rfam family "Bacterial small subunit ribosomal RNA", at positions 843 to 1379 of the family's 1533-position model. Lineage: Bacteria; Pseudomonadati; Aquificota; Aquificia; Aquificales. The record is from RNAcentral.
GUGCCGCAGGGAAACCAAUAAGCGCCCCGCCUGGGGAGUACGGGCGCAAGCCUGAAACUCAAACCAAUUGACGGGGGCCCGCACAAGCGGCGGAGCAUGUGGCUUAAUUCGAUGCUACCCGAAGAACCUUACCAGGGCUUGACAUGCUGGCUUAAGCCUGCCCGAAAGGGAGGGGUGGGACGGUUUCCGCCGUCCAGCCAGCACAGGUGGUGCACGGCUGUCGUCAGCUCGUGCCGUGAGGUGUCCGGUUAAGUCCGGCAACGAGCGCAACCCCCGCCACCAGUUGCCAGCGGGUAACGCCGGGCACUCUGGUGGGACUGCCCGCGUAAGCGGGAGGAAGGUGGGGAUGACGUCAAGUCCGCGUGCCCCUGAAGUCCUGGGCUGCACACAUGCUACAAUGCCCGCUACAAAGGGUUGCGAACCCGCGAGGGGGAGCGAAUCCCAAAAAAGCGGGCUCAGUUCGGAUCGCAGGCUGCAACUCGCCUGCGUGAAGGCGGAGUCGCUAGUAACCGCCGGUCAGCAAUACGGCGGUGAUACGUUCCCGGGC